GGAUUCCCUUAGUAGCGGCGAGCGAAACGGGAAAAGCCCAGCACUAAGUUCUCUAAUCUGUUGUGGGUUAGUAGAAGAUGCAGUGUAUGGAGAGUCUACUAUCUCAUAUGUUACGGCAAUACGUUCAAGUCCUUCUUGAAUGGGGCCCAUUUACCCAUAGAGGGUGCCAGGCCCGUAGUGACUGUUGUCCGUUUGCAUGAGAAGACUUCUCUUAAGAGUCGUGUUGCUUGAUAGUGCAGCACUAAGUUGGUGGUAAACUCCAUCUAAGGCUAAAUACAACC
RNAcentral lists this ribosomal RNA (281 nucleotides) under Sylvicola fenestralis. Its description in RNAcentral is "partial 28S ribosomal RNA". It matches the Rfam family "Eukaryotic large subunit ribosomal RNA", at positions 72 to 327 of the family's 3401-position model. Lineage: Eukaryota; Metazoa; Arthropoda; Insecta; Diptera; Anisopodidae. The record is from RNAcentral.